Long non-coding RNA from Physella acuta, 484 nucleotides. RefSeq lists it as uncharacterized. NCBI's taxonomy places the organism in Eukaryota, Metazoa, Mollusca, Gastropoda, Physidae. The record is from RefSeq and is a predicted model, not a curated record.
UUUACCCUAUGCUUUAUUAUGUAAUGAGCGUGAUAAAUGAGGGCAGUAAAGGUGGUUGAACUAAUCAAAACUAUUUGUUGCGAUGAGUUGAGUGCAGCAAGUCAGAUGAACUACGUCUGUAUGGCCAUUUCAUGCUAAUUUAAAUGACGUAGGCCUUUCUUUGGUCGGCUUCUCCUCAGUCGGCAUUGACCGUCCAUAUUGUGUGUUGUCUUUAGACAGGUCACAAAACUGAAAAUCUCAACUUGCUGAAUGUAAGCCUGCACACCCAAAGCAAUUUAAAAAAACAAGUAAUCACUUAAUCAUUAAGUAAGCACAUAGCUGAAUGAGAUCAUGCAUAAUUAGUGAGAGAGUUAAAACUGUACAACAAACAGCUAAGUUUCGGAGAGUGGACCUGGUUUUCAUCAAAUUAAAAAAUCUCGAUCUACUCCACCUUGGUCGCAAAGUUAAUUAUAGAUGUGAUGAGAUGAUUGUAGGAAAAAAGACA